This 489-nucleotide ribosomal RNA is filed under the name uncultured bacterium. Its description in RNAcentral is "bacterial SSU rRNA". It matches the Rfam family "Bacterial small subunit ribosomal RNA", at positions 32 to 518 of the family's 1533-position model. The record is from RNAcentral.
AACGCUAGCGACAGGCCUAACACAUGCAAGCAGGGGCAGCACAGGAGCAAUCUGAGGUGGCGACCGGCGCACGGGUGAGUAACACGUAUGCAACCUGCCUGUAAGCGGGGAAUAACCCGUUGAAAGACGGACUAAUACCGCAUAAUACUAAAUUACUGCAUGGUAAUUUAUUUAAACAUUUAUGGCUUACAGAUGGGCAUGCGCAUGAUUAGCUAGUUGGAGAGGUAACGGCUCCCCAAGGCAACGAUCAUUAGGGGUUCUGAGAGGAAGGUCCCCCCACACUGGUACUGAGACACGGACCAGACUCCUACGGGAGGCAGCAGUGAGGAAUAUUGGUCAAUGGACGAGAGUCUGAACCAGCCAAGUCGCGUGCAGGAAGAAUGUCCUAUGGAUUGUAAACUGCUUUUGCAGGGGAAUAAAGUGCAUCACGUGUGAUGUUUUGUAUGUACUCUGCGAAUAAGGAUCGGCUAACUCCGUGCCAGCCGCCGC